RNAcentral lists this ribosomal RNA (660 nucleotides) under fungal sp. APA-2013. RNAcentral's name for it is "eukaryotic LSU rRNA". The stretch from base 255 to 408 matches the Rfam family "5.8S ribosomal RNA". The record is from RNAcentral. Lineage: Eukaryota; Fungi.
UCUUGGUCAUUUAGAGGAAGUAAAAGUCGUAACAAGGUCUCCGUUGGUGAACCAGCGGAGGGAUCAUUACAGAGUUUUCUAAACUCCCAACCCUUGCGAACCAUACCCAUACUGUUCUCGUUGCUUCCGGCGGGGGACGGGUGGGGGGCUGCCCUCGCGCAGUCCCUCCCCUCCCGCGCCGGGGGCGGCGGGCCCUAUGAACCUUUACAUCUCAACCACAAGAAAACCGUCUGAGAAAAAAAACAAAUAAUCAAAACUUUCAACAACGGAUCUCUUGGCUCUGGCAUCGAUGAAGAACGCAGCGAAAUGCGAUACGUAAUGUGAAUUGCAGAAUUCAGCGAACCAUCGAAUCUUUGAACGCACAUUGCGCCCGCCAGUAUUCUGGCGGGCAUGCCUGUCCGAGCGUCAUUUCCCCCCUCACGCGCCUCGUUGCGCGCUGGUGUUGGGGCUCCUCCGCCUGGCGGAGGGCCCCGAAAGCGAGUGGCGGGCCCGUCUGGCGGCUCCGAGCGCAGUACCGAACGCAAGUUCUCUCCUCGCCCGGACGCCCCGUCGGCGCCUUGCCAGCCCAAAUCGCGCAUGACGUGCAACUCUUUUACAAGGUUGACCUCGGAUCAGGUAGGACUACCCGCUGAACUUAAGCAUAUCAAUAAGCGGGAGGAA